AUCCAACUGAAGAGUCCUAAACCGGACGAAGUAGACAACCUGGAU
This 45-nucleotide non-coding RNA is filed under the name Trichobilharzia regenti. The record is from RNAcentral. Lineage: Eukaryota; Metazoa; Platyhelminthes; Trematoda; Strigeidida; Schistosomatidae.